AUUGAACGCUGGCGGCAGGCCUAACACAUGCAAGUCGAACGAGUGGCGGACGGGUGAGUAAGGUCUGGGAAACUGACUGAUGGAGGGGGAUAACUACUGGAAACGGUAGCUAAUACCGCAUACCAUCGGAUGUGCCCAGGUGGGAUUAGCUAUUAGGUUGGGUAAAGGCACACCUAAGCGACGAUCCCUAGCUGGUCUGAGAGGAUGACCAGCCAGCCUGGAACUGAGACACGGCCCAGAUUCCAACGGGACGCAGCAGUGGGGCAUAUUGAAGAAGGGGCGCAAGCCUGAUGCAGCCAUGCCGCGUGUAUGACGAAGGACCUCGGGUUGUAAAGGACCGUUAGCGGGAAUGCGUUACCCGCAGAAGAAGCCACGGCUAACUACGUGCCAGCAGCCGCGGUAAUAC
Molecule: ribosomal RNA, 406 nt
Filed under: uncultured bacterium
Lineage: Bacteria
Description: partial 16S ribosomal RNA
Rfam family: Bacterial small subunit ribosomal RNA
Source: RNAcentral